Molecule: antisense RNA, 75 nt
Filed under: Streptomyces sp. PRh5
Lineage: Bacteria; Bacillati; Actinomycetota; Actinomycetes; Kitasatosporales; Streptomycetaceae
Description: ASpks sRNA
Rfam family: ASpks TB sRNA
Source: RNAcentral
CUUGAGCGACCCGAGCCAUACCGGCUCGUCCCCCCGGCGCUCCUGCCCGUAGGUGGCCAGGACCGCCUGGGCCUC